ACGAAGGGUGCAAGCGUUACUCGGAAUUACUGGGCGUAAAGGGUGCGUAGGUGGUUUUUUAAGUCUGCUGUGAAAUCCCCGGGCUCAACCUGGGAAUGGCAGUGGAUACUGGAAAGCUGGAGUGCGGUAGAGGGUAGUGGAAUUCCCGGUGUAGCAGUGAAAUGCGUAGAGAUCGGGAGGAACACCAGUGGCGAAGGCGGCGUCCUGGCCCAUUUCUGACGUUCAGACAUGACAGCAUGGGGAGCGAACGGGA
This 253-nucleotide ribosomal RNA is filed under the name uncultured prokaryote. RNAcentral's name for it is "partial 16S ribosomal RNA". It matches the Rfam family "Bacterial small subunit ribosomal RNA", at positions 525 to 777 of the family's 1533-position model. The record is from RNAcentral.